This 299-nucleotide long non-coding RNA is filed under the name Vulpes vulpes (red fox). RNAcentral describes it as "lncRNA (ENSVVUG00000020469.1)". Lineage: Eukaryota; Metazoa; Chordata; Mammalia; Carnivora; Canidae. The record is from RNAcentral.
AGCAUCCACUGAGACUAAUAUAUCUGAAAUAUAUCAUGAAAACAACAUUUAGAGAGGAGAAAUGGUAGAAAACUUAAAGUUUCAUAGAAUCCAGGGAGGUGAUAUAAAUAAGCAAAUCAGCCUGGUAGUACGCUAUGCUGAACGGAAGAGAAUGUGCGUCAGCUGGCCUGGAGCACCGUCAGAGGGACCUGCGAUUACAUGAGUACAUGGGCAUUUGGAGAAAUUUUCACUGGGAGCAUGAAUAUAGCAGAAUGAGAUACCUCAAAAAUGGAAAAAAUGCCUCACAUCUGUGCUGCUGA